This 296-nucleotide ribosomal RNA is filed under the name Pseudomonas aeruginosa. RNAcentral's name for it is "partial 23S ribosomal RNA". It matches the Rfam family "Bacterial large subunit ribosomal RNA", at positions 497 to 797 of the family's 2925-position model. The record is from RNAcentral. Lineage: Bacteria; Pseudomonadati; Pseudomonadota; Gammaproteobacteria; Pseudomonadales; Pseudomonadaceae.
AGUACCGUGAGGGAAAGGCGAAAAGAACCCCGGCGAGAGGAGUGAAAAAGAACCUGAAACCGUGUACGUACAAGCAGUGGGAGCACCUUCGGGUGUGACUGCGUACCUUUUGUAUAAUGGGUCAGCGACUUAUAUUCUGUAGCAAGGUUAACCGUAUAGGGGAGCCGCAGGGAAACCGAGUCUUAACUGGGCGUUAAGUUGCAGGGUAUAGACCCGAAACCCGGUGAUCUAGCCAUGGGCAGGUUGAAGGUUGGGUAACACUAACUGGAGGACCGAACCGACUAAUGUUGAAAAAU